This 2902-nucleotide ribosomal RNA is filed under the name Shigella flexneri 6603-63. Its description in RNAcentral is "23S ribosomal RNA". The record is from RNAcentral. Lineage: Bacteria; Pseudomonadati; Pseudomonadota; Gammaproteobacteria; Enterobacterales; Enterobacteriaceae.
AAGGUUAAGCCUCACGGUUCAUUAGUACCGGUUAGCUCAACGCAUCGCUGCGCUUACACACCCGGCCUAUCAACGUCGUCGUCUUCAACGUUCCUUCAGGACCCUUAAAGGGUCAGGGAGAACUCAUCUCGGGGCAAGUUUCGUGCUUAGAUGCUUUCAGCACUUAUCUCUUCCGCAUUUAGCUACCGGGCAGUGCCAUUGGCAUGACAACCCGAACACCAGUGAUGCGUCCACUCCGGUCCUCUCGUACUAGGAGCAGCCCCCCUCAGUUCUCCAGCGCCCACGGCAGAUAGGGACCGAACUGUCUCACGACGUUCUAAACCCAGCUCGCGUACCACUUUAAAUGGCGAACAGCCAUACCCUUGGGACCUACUUCAGCCCUAGGAUGUGAUGAGCCGACAUCGAGGUGCCAAACACCGCCGUCGAUAUGAACUCUUGGGCGGUAUCAGCCUGUUAUCCCCGGAGUACCUUUUAUCCGUUGAGCGAUGGCCCUUCCAUUCAGAACCACCGGAUCACUAUGACCUGCUUUCGCACCUGCUCGCGCCGUCACGCUCGCAGUCAAGCUGGCUUAUGCCAUUGCACUAACCUCCUGAUGUCCGACCAGGAUUAGCCAACCUUCGUGCUCCUCCGUUACUCUUUAGGAGGAGACCGCCCCAGUCAAACUACCCACCAGACACUGUCCGCAACCCGGAUCACGGGUCCACGUUAGAACAUCAAACAUUAAAGGGUGGUAUUUCAAGGUCGGCUCCAUGCAGACUGGCGUCCACACUUCAAAGCCUCCCACCUAUCCUACACAUCAAGGCUCAAUGUUCAGUGUCAAGCUAUAGUAAAGGUUCACGGGGUCUUUCCGUCUUGCCGCGGGUACACUGCAUCUUCACAGCGAGUUCAAUUUCACUGAGUCUCGGGUGGAGACAGCCUGGCCAUCAUUACGCCAUUCGUGCAGGUCGGAACUUACCCGACAAGGAAUUUCGCUACCUUAGGACCGUUAUAGUUACGGCCGCCGUUUACCGGGGCUUCGAUCAAGAGCUUCGCUUGCGCUAACCCCAUCAAUUAACCUUCCGGCACCGGGCAGGCGUCACACCGUAUACGUCCACUUUCGUGUUUGCACAGUGCUGUGUUUUUAAUAAACAGUUGCAGCCAGCUGGUAUCUUCGACUGAUUUCAGCUCCACGAGCAAGUCGCUUCACCUACGUAUCAGCGUGCCUUCUCCCGAAGUUACGGCACCAUUUUGCCUAGUUCCUUCACCCGAGUUCUCUCAAGCGCCUUGGUAUUCUCUACCUGACCACCUGUGUCGGUUUGGGGUACGAUUUGAUGUUACCUGAUGCUUAGAGGCUUUUCCUGGAAGCAGGGCAUUUGUUGCUUCAGCACCGUAGUGCCUCGUCAUCACGCCUCGGCCUUGAUUUUCCGGAUUUGCCUGGAAAACCAGCCUACACGCUUAAACCGGGACAACCGUCGCCCGGCCAACAUAGCCUUCUCCGUCCCCCCUUCGCAGUAACACCAAGUACAGGAAUAUUAACCUGUUUCCCAUCGACUACGCCUUUCGGCCUCGCCUUAGGGGUCGACUCACCCUGCCCCGAUUAACGUUGGACAGGAACCCUUGGUCUUCCGGCGAGCGGGCUUUUCACCCGCUUUAUCGUUACUUAUGUCAGCAUUCGCACUUCUGAUACCUCCAGCAUACCUCACAGCACACCUUCACAGGCUUACAGAACGCUCCCCUACCCAACAACGCAUAAGCGUCGCUGCCGCAGCUUCGGUGCAUGGUUUAGCCCCGUUACAUCUUCCGCGCAGGCCGACUCGACCAGUGAGCUAUUACGCUUUCUUUAAAUGAUGGCUGCUUCUAAGCCAACAUCCUGGCUGUCUGGGCCUUCCCACAUCGUUUCCCACUUAACCAUGACUUUGGGACCUUAGCUGGCGGUCUGGGUUGUUUCCCUCUUCACGACGGACGUUAGCACCCGCCGUGUGUCUCCCGUGAUAACAUUCUCCGGUAUUCGCAGUUUGCAUCGGGUUGGUAAGUCGGGAUGACCCCCUUGCCGAAACAGUGCUCUACCCCCGGAGAUGAAUUCACGAGGCGCUACCUAAAUAGCUUUCGGGGAGAACCAGCUAUCUCCCGGUUUGAUUGGCCUUUCACCCCCAGCCACAAGUCAUCCGCUAAUUUUUCAACAUUAGUCGGUUCGGUCCUCCAGUUAGUGUUACCCAACCUUCAACCUGCCCAUGGCUAGAUCACCGGGUUUCGGGUCUAUACCCUGCAACUUAACGCCCAGUUAAGACUCGGUUUCCCUUCGGCUCCCCUAUUCGGUUAACCUUGCUACAGAAUAUAAGUCGCUGACCCAUUAUACAAAAGGUACGCAGUCACACGCCUAAGCGUGCUCCCACUGCUUGUACGUACACGGUUUCAGGUUCUUUUUCACUCCCCUCGCCGGGGUUCUUUUCGCCUUUCCCUCACGGUACUGGUUCACUAUCGGUCAGUCAGGAGUAUUUAGCCUUGGAGGAUGGUCCCCCCAUAUUCAGACAGGAUACCACGUGUCCCGCCCUACUCAUCGAGCUCACAGUAUGUGCAUUUUUGUGUACGGGGCUGUCACCCUGUAUCGCACGCCUUUCCAGACGCUUCCACUAACACACACACUGAUUCAGGCUCUGGGCUGCUCCCCGUUCGCUCGCCGCUACUGGGGGAAUCUCGGUUGAUUUCUUUUCCUCGGGGUACUUAGAUGUUUCAGUUCCCCCGGUUCGCCUCAUUAACCUAUGGAUUCAGUUAAUGAUAGUGUGACGAAUCACACUGGGUUUCCCCAUUCGGAAAUCGCCGGUUAUAACGGUUCAUAUCACCUUACCGACGCUUAUCGCAGAUUAGCACGUCCUUCAUCGCCUCUGACUGCCAAGGCAUCCACCGUGUACGCUUAGUCGCUUAA